RNAcentral lists this unclassified non-coding RNA (329 nucleotides) under soil metagenome. RNAcentral's name for it is "partial contains 5.8S ribosomal RNA, internal transcribed spacer 2, and large subunit ribosomal RNA". The stretch from base 1 to 120 matches the Rfam family "5.8S ribosomal RNA", at positions 35 to 154 of the family's 154-position model. The record is from RNAcentral.
GAUGAAGAACGCAGUGAAAUGCGAUAAGUAAUGUGAAUUGCAGAAUUCAGUGAAUCAUCGAAUCUUUGAACGCACAUUGCGCCCUCUGGUAUUCCGGAGGGCAUGCCUGUUCGAGCGUCAUUAUAACCACUCAAGCUCUCGCUUGGUAUUGGGGUUCGCGGUUCCGCGGCCCCUAAAAUCAGUGGCGGUGCCUGUCGGCUCUACGCGUAGUAAUACUCCUCGCGAUUGAGUCCGGUAGGUCUACUUGCCAGCAACCCCCAAUUUUUACAGGUUGACCUCGGAUCAGGUAGGGAUACCCGCUGAACUUAAGCAUAUCAAUAAGCGGAGGA